UCAGUAAAGGGUCUUUGUUGGAGC
Molecule: non-coding RNA, 24 nt
Filed under: Cricetulus griseus (Chinese hamster)
Lineage: Eukaryota; Metazoa; Chordata; Mammalia; Rodentia; Cricetidae
Source: RNAcentral